GGGUUUACCCAUUGGUCAGGCUUAAUUGUCUGUACUGGUGAGAUAAAUCUCUACCUUCUGAGGAACUUUCAUGUCAUUAAUUUGGUGUUUUAGGGAAUCAGGACUGUUACUUUGAAAAAAUUAGAGUGUUUAAAGCAGGCUCACGCUUGAAUACAUUAGCAUGGAAUAACAAAAUAGGACGUAUGAUUUUAUUUUGUUGGUUUCUAGGAUCGACGUA
RNAcentral lists this ribosomal RNA (217 nucleotides) under Campeiostachys nutans. Its description in RNAcentral is "Elymus nutans partial small subunit ribosomal RNA". The stretch from base 48 to 217 matches the Rfam family "Eukaryotic small subunit ribosomal RNA", at positions 693 to 864 of the family's 1831-position model. Lineage: Eukaryota; Viridiplantae; Streptophyta; Magnoliopsida; Poales; Poaceae. The record is from RNAcentral.